Manihot esculenta (cassava) is the source of this 913-nucleotide long non-coding RNA. RefSeq lists it as uncharacterized. The transcript is spliced from 2 exons. NCBI's taxonomy places the organism in Eukaryota, Viridiplantae, Streptophyta, Magnoliopsida, Malpighiales, Euphorbiaceae. The record is from RefSeq and is a predicted model, not a curated record.
AAUAAAUAAAUAUUUUUUAAUAAAAAAAGAAUUUAAUUUUAUAAAAUAUAAAAAUCAACAAGUAAAUUUUUUAAAAGUUAAUUAAUUUGGUCCUAACUGUAAUUUAACCUUUAAGUGACGGUCACUUGGUACCCAACAGUGGUUGGUGGCGGCGGGUCGGUGCCACUAAUUAUCACUCAUCACUUAUGGCGUUUGUUUUUUUUAAAUCAAUCGCUUGCGGUGGUUUGGAUAAACGUAAACACAUAAAGCAAAACAAAAUAAAAUAAAUAAAAACUGAAAAAAGCCCAUGGCAAUUUGGGCUCCCACCGGGAUUAAAGUCACAAAUUCUCAAGUUCAACGCUUUAUCCACAACUGGUUUUUUCCUUUUCUCCUGGAACUCGCGUGUAUCUAUCUCCAUCUACCCUUUCAUCCAACGGUCUCAAACGGCCAGAACCAGCUGUAGUCUAUUGAUUGUCCAAUAAGAUAAUAAAAGAUAUUCCGUGUUACGGGAACUAAAAGCUAAAUAACAGACUGCCCUUUCUCUUUACGACGUUUCUUCUAAUAUAAAGCGACAGGCUUGAGAGGGCUCUCUACUUGUGUCUCUUGGGACUCGGGUAAAUUUUUCUUUGAGGAAAGGGGUUAUGGCGGUGGAGCUAUUUGUGUUGGGUUGCACUGGAGUUGUGAUGUUUCUCCACGGAGCUAAUUUCUUCUUCCAUGCUCUCUCGCAGCACCUAGCCGUUCGUUCUCUCAGUUUUCUGGGUUUUGCUGGAUGGUGAAGGAAAGUGAAGAUGGCAGCUCGCAGUGCUUCUCUUUGUAUAUAAUUAUUAUCUUUUUGGGGGCAAAAUAAGUGCUAGCGUAGAUUGUAAAAGCAAUACGGCUUCAAAACUCUGUAUAAAUUUUCGAUCUAAAUUUAUCUUAUUUGAUUCAUUUGUUA